GAUGAACGCUGGCGGCGUGCUUAACACAUGCAAGUCGAACGGAAAGGCCGAAGCUUGCUUCGGUACUCGAGUGGCGAACGGGUGAGUAACACGUGGGUGAUCUGCCCUGUACUUCGGGAUAAGCUUGGGAAACUGGGUCUAAUACCGGAUAUGACGAUCUCUUGGAUGGGGUUGUGGAAAGCUUUUGCGGUAUGGGAUGAGCUCGCGGCCUAUCAGCUUGUUGGUGGGGUAAUGGCCUACCAAGGCGUCGACGGGUAGCCGGCCUGAGAGGGUGUACGGCGACAUUGUGACUGGGAUACGGGCCAGACACCUACGUGAGGCGGCAGUGGGGAAUAUUGCACAAUGGGCGCAGGCCUGAUGCAGCGACGCCGCGUGGGGGAUGACGGCCUUCGGGUUGUAAACUCCUUUCGCAAUCGACGAAGCCUUUUAGUGACGGUAGGUUGAGAAGAAGCACCGGCUAACUACGUG
This 468-nucleotide ribosomal RNA is filed under the name uncultured bacterium. RNAcentral describes it as "partial 16S ribosomal RNA". It matches the Rfam family "Bacterial small subunit ribosomal RNA", at positions 28 to 507 of the family's 1533-position model. The record is from RNAcentral.